UGGGGGAUAUUGCACAAUGGGGGGAACCCUGAUGCAGCGACGCCGCGUGGGUGAAGGAGUGCUUCGGCAUGUAAAGCCCUAUCGGCAGGGAAGAAGCAAGACGGUACCUGACUAA
RNAcentral lists this ribosomal RNA (115 nucleotides) under uncultured bacterium. RNAcentral's name for it is "partial 16S ribosomal RNA". It matches the Rfam family "Bacterial small subunit ribosomal RNA", at positions 355 to 486 of the family's 1533-position model. The record is from RNAcentral.